GAUUAUUGGCAUUGUGUUUCUGUCAAAGCCUCAACAAUUAGUAAGCAUCAUUAAUAAUUAAUUUUCAAUCUAACAGCUGCUGCAGGAGAAGGCAUCUUCAGGUCACCACCAGUUGGCAUUCUCAUCUGCAAUUUACAGAGGAAUGACAGAAGGAAUUUUUGUUGCUUUCUUCCAUAUGACAGAAUGUUUUCUGUGACAAUUUCUUUUUUGUCCUUCUGCUCUUAUUUUCCCUUAUCAUGCUUUGACAUUUGUAAAUUGAUAUCUAUAAAUUAAGGCCUUUAUCUUCUCAGUAGUUGAAGCUGAGAAAUUAUCAAACUUUCCCUCUAAAUUUUAACUUGGUAUCAGAGCUUGUGAUGGCAAGAAAUGGAGAAAGCUCGGUGGUUUCAGGAAGAACCAGUGGAGGAAAUACAACUGUGAGGACUCUAAGCCUCUCCGGAAACUCCAUGGGCACUUACAACAUGGUUAGGUUGAACCAUGACAACUUCUUGCUGUUAAAAAAACAUUGUCCUGCCAGUAAUCAGAGGGAACAAGCUCGAAGGAUAUAUAACAGGUGCAAAAACCUUCCCACUAGAAUGCACUCAAGAAGCAGAAAAAUGAGAAGAAAUCAGAGUUACAGUAAAUCUAGAUGUUGAAGAAUGGUAUGUACAGGACCAAAUGCUACUCGGCUGGAUUUAUAAUACGAUUGAACCAAUUGUAGCUGCUGAACUGAUAGGCUAUGAAACAUCAAGACGGCUGUGGAAUGCAAUAAUUGAGCUUUUUGGAAUUAAAACGAGGUCGAACGUUGUCUUCUACAAAUGAGAGUUCACGAAAUGCAGAAAGGAAACACAACAAUGGUGGAUUACCUCAAAGUUGUGAAGAACAUUACAGACAACCUGGCUUUAGCUGGACAUCCAGUCUCCCUUGAUGAUGUGGUCACACAAGCACUCAUUGGUCUUGAUUCACCAGAAUAUUACUCGCUUGUGUGUCAAAUCAUGGAAAAAGAAAGUCUCAGCUGGACAGACCUUCAGUCGAAGUUGCUUAGCUAUGAAAGGCACCUGGAGCAGUUAAAUGCAAAUUUAGCAACACUCAACUUUGGACAACCAGCAGCCAACUGCACAAGAAGCUCAAACCAUAACAGUAAAAACCAGACUUAGCCGUAUGGAGGAAGCAGACCAGGAAACAACAGCAGAGGAAGAAGUUUCAGAUGAAGAGGAAAUAGAUAUGGAGGAGGCAGAACACAAAACUUAUACUGCCAGAUAUGUGGCAAAAAUGGUCACACAGCUACUAUAUGUUUUUACAGAUUUGAUAGAAACUACAUGGGCGGUAUACCAACUAGCAAACACCAGCAGCAGCAUCCACACUCAGUCUAUCUUGCUUCAGCUGAUAACAUUGCAGACUCUGCCUGGUAUGUUGAUAGUGGAGCAAGCAGCCAUGUCACAAAUGACCCUGAAAACCUUAAACAGAAACAGGCAUAUGCUGGUAAGGAGUUUUUAAUAGUUGGAAAUGGUGAUAGACUUAAUAUUCAGCAUGUUGGAACAGCAGAAUUGUCGCUUGAAACUGGAAAUUGUUUGCUGUUAAAUGAAACAUUGCAUGUGUCGGAUAUAGAGAAGAAUUUGAUUAGUAUCUCUAAUCUCAUUGCAUGAAAUAAUAUAGAUGUAAUGUUUGACUCUUAUAGCUGUGUUAUUAAUGAAAAAGUAUCGGGGAAAGCUCUGAUGCGGGGAAACAUAAGGAAGGCCUGUAUCGGAUUGAACAAACCCACUUACCCAAGGCAAACACUUAUCAAAACCCUUUUCAAGCACUUGAAAGUAGCUCAUCUACCAGAAAUAAAAAUGUUGAAACCUUGAAACUGUGGCAUAGAUGAUUAGGCCACCCCUCUCACAAAAUUCUGAUGAAAGCUAUAAGCUCUUGUAAUCAGACUAUUACUAGUACUGAGAAUUCUCCCUUUUUUGAUGCGUGUCAACUUGGAAAAUCCCACUUAUUACCAUUCACUGCAUCGUCUUCACAUGCAUCAAAACCUCUUGAUUUAAUUCAUGCUGACAUUUGGGGACCUGCCCCAGUACUCUCAUUAUCAAAUUUUAAAUAUUAUGUUCUCUUCCUAGAUGAUUUCAGUCACUUCACUUGGCUAUUCCCACUCAAACAAAAAUCAGACAUUAUACAAACAUUUAUUCAACUCAAAGCCAUGGUCGAAAAUCAGUUUGAAAGGAAAAUAAAAUGCUUUCAAACUAAUAUGGGAGGAGAGUUCUUAAGCCUCACAAAUGACCUACUACAACAAGGCAUUAAAACGCAAUAUUCUUCCCCACAUACAUCUCCUCAAAAUGGUAGAGCCGAGAGGAAACACAGACAUGUUGUAGAAACCGGCUUUGACCUUGUUAGGUCAGUCUAAAGUCCCACUAAAAUUCUGGCUAGAAGCGUUUCAAACAGUUGUGUUCCUUAUAAACCGUUUGCCAACACCAGUUAUAGACAACCAAAAUCCUCUAGAAAAGCUCUACUCCAAGAAACCAAAUUACCACUUCUUAAAAGUGUUUGGUUGCGCUUGUUACCAUGUCUUAGGCCUUAUCAAACCCAGAAAUUCUAAUUUUAUUCAGCAAGAUGUGUCUUCCUUGGAUACAGUAAUUCACACAAAGGUUUUAAGUGUCUUAGUUCAACAGGAAGAAUUUACAUCUUGUGUGAUAUUCAAUGAGGAAGACUUUCUUUUUCAUGGAAACUUUCUAAACACAAAAGCACCUGAAGACCAAACUCUUGUGAUCAGAAAUUGGCUUGCAACUCCCUCACAAACUCAAAACAUAACCCUACCAAAUGACACCUCCUCAGCUGAUACAGGCAGUCAGUGUGUUCCCACUGCUGCAGAUCAAUCUGAUCUGCCUCAUAACAAUGGGGUCCGAAACAUUAUUCCUCGAAGACCAAACUGUGAGAUUAUCCUUAGAAGAAGGACUUGACUCUCAAGCUCAUAAUCUGGGUGAACCACUUGAUUUUGAUAUAGAGCCUAUCAACUGCAACAGGCAGUUGCAGGAGCUUUCAGUAGAGAUACCUCUGAAUGCUGAGAAUCAAAGCAUGGAAGAGGAACCAGCUGCAGGACACAAGAUGAUCAUAAGAGCCAAGGCAGGUAUUUUCAAACCUAAGCAGUAUCCUUUAGGCUUCCAACUGCUUACUGUCAAAUGCUCAUUGCCAACUGAACCGAGCACAAUUGAAGAAGCAGUAAAGUCCAAGCACUAGAAAGCAACUAUGGAAGAAGAAAUUGAAGCACUAAAAAGAAAUAACACCUGGUCAUUGGUUGCCUAUCAGUCCUCAGUGAAUGUAGUAGGAAAUAAAUGGGUGUUCAAGGUAAAGAAGAACAUGGAUGACAGCUUCCAAAGGUGUAAGGCUAGACUGGUUGCAAAGGGGUUUCAUCAAAAUACAGGCAGUGAUUAUGGAGAAACGUUCAGUCCAGUUCUUAAGGCAUCAACCAUCAGGGUCAUUCUCACCAUAGCAGUAACAGAAAACUAGAGUAUAAGUAACUAGACAUAAAUAAUGCCUUUUUGAAUGGGAACUUGCAGGAAUCAAUUUACAUGGUGCAACCACCUGGUUUUGAACUAAGGGACAUGAGCAACUGCGUAUGCAAGUUGAACAAGGCAUUGUAUGGCUUGAAGCAAGCACCAAGAGCCUGGUUCGAAAAAUUUAGGGACACCUUGUUAAAAUGGGGUUUUGUGAAUUCUAAGUGUGAUACAUCCCUAUUUAUUAUGAACACCAAUGAGCAGAUCCUAUUUGUGCUAAUAUAUGUGGAUGACUUGAUAGUCACGGGCAACAAUUCAAUGUCACUUAAGAAAUUUGUUCAAGAACUAGACAAACUGUUUGCAUUAAAGGAUAUGGGAGAACUGCAUCUCUUCCUCGGAAUUGAAGUUACAAGAGAUGAAACAAGAAUUUACCUAACUCAAACCAAGUAUAUAGAAGAGCUACUUAGAAAAGCAAACGUGGAAAAUUCAAAAGGCUACCUACACCUGGAACUCUUAAUGCUCUCACUGCCAAUGAAGGGGAACCACUCAAAAAUCCAAUAGAGUGCAGGAAAAUCAUAGGAGGUCUGCAGUAUGCAACACACACUAAACUUGACAUUGCCUACAUUACAAACAAAUUAAGUCAAUUUUUGCAACAGCCAACAACAAAGCACAUGCAAGCUGUGAAGAGAGUUCUAAGGUAUCUGAAAGGAACCAAGGAUUUUGUUCUACAUGUUCAACCUUGCAACAGUUACACUCUGACAGGCUACUCAGAUGCUGAUUGGGCAUGCAACAGGGAUGAUAGAAGAUCAACAGCUGGUCAUUGUGUUUAUUUUGGCUCAACACUAGUCUCAUGGAGCUCAAAAAAGCAACAUGUUAUUGCUAGAUCAAGUGCAGAAUCAGAGUAUAGGUCACUAGCUCAAGUUGUCUGUGAAAUAACCUGGUUAGAAUCCUUACUCAAGGAACUGCUCAUCUCGGUGACAGAAGUACCUGUCACAUGGUGUGAUAAUCUCAGUGCUGGUCAGCUUGCCAGCAACCCUGUGUUCCAUGCUAGGACAAAACACAUUGAUGUAGAUAUUCACUUUGUUAGAGACAAAGUGCUUGAGAAGAAGGUUGAGGUAAGUUAUGUACCAUCUCAAGAUGAAAUUGUUGAUUACCUAACAAAAGCUUUAACGGGUUUUCAAUUCUACAAUUCAAGGACCAAACUUGGAGUGAUCGAAAGGCCUCUCUCACUACCAAGUUUGAAGGGGAAUGUUAAAGCCUCAACAAUUAGCAAGCAUCAUUAAUAAUUAAUCUUCAAUCUAACAGCUGCUGCAGGAGAGGCAUCUCCAGGUCAC
Molecule: long non-coding RNA, 4783 nt
Filed under: Carica papaya (papaya)
Lineage: Eukaryota; Viridiplantae; Streptophyta; Magnoliopsida; Brassicales; Caricaceae
Description: long non-coding RNA (CPAP_LNC003745)
Source: RNAcentral